AACAACUAGCUGUGCCCGGCCACGCGUUGCUGUGGCGUAUGGGAAUUCUUUGUUAGAUGGUCUGCAGUAAGGCAAAUAUGAACAAGGGAAGACCAGAAUGAGGGCCUUCAAAGCACCGAUUAAUAUACUGGAGCAGAAAGUCCCAGUUUCCAUAAGGCAAAUGAAUACAAAACUGCACAUUCUAGAAGAGAAAUUCAUCCAAAGAUGUUGCAAAUGGAUAAAAAACAGUAACCAAAAGAAAUCACCUACCUGUUUUAUAAAUGAAAUUAUUAGUGUGAUUAUUUU
RNAcentral lists this long non-coding RNA (285 nucleotides) under Anolis carolinensis (green anole). Its description in RNAcentral is "lncRNA (ENSACAG00000036568.1)". The record is from RNAcentral. Lineage: Eukaryota; Metazoa; Chordata; Lepidosauria; Squamata; Anolidae.